UGAGUAGCACGUGGUGUAACCUGCCCAUAAGACUGGGAUAACUCCGGGAAACCGGGGCUAAUACCGGAUUAACAUUUUGAACUGCAUGGUUCUGAAAUUGAUAGUGCGUGCUUCGCGCUGUCACUUAUGCGAUAGUGACCCUGCAGUCUGCAUUAGCGNAGGUUGGUGAGUGUAACUGNGCUCACCAAUGGCAACGAUGCUGUAGCCAGACCUGAGAGGGUGAUCUGGCCACACUGNGGACUGAGACACGGCCCAGACUCCUACGGGAGGCAGCAUGUAGGGAAUCUUCCGCAAUGGACGAAAGUCUGACGGAGCAACUGCCGCGUGAGUGAUGAAGGCUUUCGGGUCGUAAAACUCUGUUGUUAGGGAAGAACAAGUGCUAGUUGAAUAAUGCGUGGCACCUUGACGGUACCUAACCAGAAAGCCACGGUAACUACGUGCCAGCAGACGCGGUAAUACGUAGGUGGCAAAGCGUUAUCCGGAAUUAUUUGGGCGUAAAGCGCGCGC
This 507-nucleotide ribosomal RNA is filed under the name uncultured bacterium. RNAcentral describes it as "bacterial SSU rRNA". It matches the Rfam family "Bacterial small subunit ribosomal RNA", at positions 107 to 572 of the family's 1533-position model. The record is from RNAcentral.